This 284-nucleotide long non-coding RNA is filed under the name Ananas comosus (pineapple). RNAcentral describes it as "long non-coding RNA (ACOM_LNC010529)". The record is from RNAcentral. Lineage: Eukaryota; Viridiplantae; Streptophyta; Magnoliopsida; Poales; Bromeliaceae.
UGGAUUUGAGGAGGAGGCUUUUGGGGAUUCGAAGCGUGGCGUUCGUGGAUCGAACCUGAGUGUAGACCGACGACUGUUUGGUGUUGCGAGAUACAGAGUAAGAUUAAAAUGGUCAAGUCCCUGAAGUUAGUAAUUAUUUUGUAAUCUUUUCUUUCUUAGUGAAAUAUUUUUCGUGAUCGUUCUGGUGAAUUUAAUUUAUUCUUGUUUGGAUGUUUUUCCAGUUAAGUUUCGGUGUACUUUUUAAAUUUUCGUAUUUAUUUUAUUUGUCGACUAUUUGUGAUUUU